GUCUGGCGGUCCAAACGCCGGGGUUUUCGAGACACCACUUUCAUUGCCAAAUGUGCGGCGGAGGAAUCCCCAAUCAAAGGCAGAACCGGUCCAAUCCAAAUGGACCACAAUCUCGCUGCUUGUUCAUCGU
Ahrensia sp. is the source of this 130-nucleotide non-coding RNA. The record is from Rfam. Lineage: Bacteria; Pseudomonadati; Pseudomonadota; Alphaproteobacteria; Hyphomicrobiales; Ahrensiaceae.